ACAUAUGUGCUCGCCUUCACACUCUUCAUCCACUCAACCCCUGUGCACUUUAUCAGAGUUAGUAAUAGUAUUGUGGUGGCGGCCAUUUGUUGUUAUUCAUUGUUAGAAGCGGGGGCAACCCUGUCUGGCAAUAGUAAUGAUAAUAAUCUUGGUUCUACUACUACUAUGAACACUUUGACUUUUAUUUAUACAAACACUUUGCUUGUUCUUGUGAAUGUGUAAUGCUCCUUGUGAGCGAAAUACAAAUAUACAACUUUCAACAACGGAUCUCUUGGCUCUCGCAUCGAUGAAGAACGCAGCGAAAUGCGAUAAGUAAUGUGAAUUGCAGAAUUCAGUGAAUCAUCGAAUCUUUGAACGCACCUUGCGCCCCUUGGUAUUCCGAGGGGCAUGCCUGUUUGAGUGUCAUGUAAUUCUCAAUCCUCUUCUUCUUAACUGAAGAAAAAGAGGCUUGGACUUGGAGGUAUACACAAGCUGGUACUGUUUGGUAUCGGCUCCUCUCAAAUACAUUAGCUGGACUGUAGUUCGCAUUGUUUGGUGUAAUAGUUCUAUCUUAUUUCACUACAGUGCUUACUUAGACGGGUCUGCUUCCAAUAGUCCGCCUAUGUGU
This 607-nucleotide unclassified non-coding RNA is filed under the name Fomitiporia torreyae. Its description in RNAcentral is "partial contains ITS1, 5.8S rRNA and ITS2". The stretch from base 252 to 405 matches the Rfam family "5.8S ribosomal RNA". The record is from RNAcentral. Lineage: Eukaryota; Fungi; Basidiomycota; Agaricomycetes; Hymenochaetales; Hymenochaetaceae.